Myotis myotis is the source of this 729-nucleotide long non-coding RNA. RefSeq lists it as uncharacterized. NCBI's taxonomy places the organism in Eukaryota, Metazoa, Chordata, Mammalia, Chiroptera, Vespertilionidae. The record is from RefSeq and is a predicted model, not a curated record. The transcript is spliced from 4 exons.
UUGUAAUCAGAAGAGAAGAAGUUGCUGCCUUGAUAUUUCCAUUUUUAUCACUUUUAUUUACUUCAUUUUAAUGUCUUUCAGGGAAUAUUUUCUUUGCACCAAGGCAAGGCAAGGCUGACGGUUGCUUACAUCUUUCUGCCGCCCCUGCCCCUCAGCCAGGCUGGGACAGGGGAGAAGAGAUUUUGGAUUCCCAGCCCAGCCCUGAUGGUGAGGGAUUAGUUACAAGGUGCCUUAACCCACAGCCCUGGAGGAGGGUCCUGGGAGCCUGUUCCUGAGAGGAGCCUGUCACGGUUGAGGAACAGGUUUCACGCUGAAGAGCAGAAAGGCCGGGCGCUGGUGGGAUCAAUGUGGUUUCUGUCACUGAAUAGAGAAAGGUCAAGGCUGGAAAUGAUGCAUCGCCUCAGCACCAGGAGCCCCAGAGGGCCGUGACAACACAGCCGGAACAGGCCUCUCAUAGCCCGGCAAGAGUGUCGAUGGGCCAUGACAGCCUCCAGGACUGCACGGCCAUCCCGUUGGUGUUUCCUUGCAACCAGCACAGAUGAGACACUGUCAUCACCCCAUUGUGCAGCCAGAAACACCAAGGCCAAGAGCUGGAAGAUGCCCACCUGUCAGGACAAGCAGAGCCACAGGGCCAGCCUCGGCCUCCUGGGGAAAGGCCAGGGCUCCGCUGCUAGAGGCGGUUAGGCCACCAAAUGAAAAGCCCUCAUUAACUAAUAAAAAGUGCUUGCA